AGAAUGAUAUUGAGCCAAAGAUGACUUGCCGAUUUUACCAACAAACCUAAAAUUGAUAUUGGCUACCGGCAAGUCGAUUUUGGCUCUGUUUCCUUCUCU
This is a non-coding RNA of Brassica napus (rape), 99 nucleotides long. The record is from Rfam. NCBI's taxonomy places the organism in Eukaryota, Viridiplantae, Streptophyta, Magnoliopsida, Brassicales, Brassicaceae.